GUUUUUCUCAGGUCUUUUUUAAUUUAAAUGUUUAAGAGUAAAAAAAUGACUAGAGUACUUUAAUUACAAUAAUUUGAAUGAGCUGGUUUGAUUUGCCUUUUUAAUCCAUUUUUCUCUCUGUAUCCUGGUCUAGCUUCUGGGAGGCUCAAAGAAUGGAGUGACUCAUCAUAGUGUCUGCUGCGUCAUCAGGAAAGAGGGUGCCCAAGGGACAGAGGCUAGACUGGGAUUUGAAGUUUCUGGAUUCUAACCACACUGGCUGUCUCUACAUGGGGCUGCAUCUUGAUUGUGGUUUAUAGGUAAUCACUUAAUUUCACGAUCUUUGCACAUUUUCCUUUCAAAAAUGGCAACAAUUAUCCUUUAUUCUUCCAUCUCCCUUCUAGGAUAUGGCAAAGAGUCAUUAUUAUUAAAAAAAAAAAAAAAGAAAUUGAAAAAAAAAAAAGAAAUUGUCAAUCUGUCCAGAGGUAUUUGCUAUAUAAAUACAGAAAACAAUUCUCAUGAUUUCCUUUGCCUUUGGGGCUGUGCCUGUAGGGUAAGUAGGCACUUUCUCAAUGAAGGGGGCGUUUUGAAAUUCCUUCCAAAGAAGUCUGGCAUUCAUUCUAAAUUGACCUGGAGGCUGAGGAGCCCUGGAGUUUUUCCAGCUAGUUCAAACUCUGCCAGAAGUCACUGCCUGCAAACAGCCUACCACAGUCUUGGGAAUGAACUCUGACAAACUGACCAUCAUAACAGUUGAUGCUUCUCAUUGAGGAUGGAAGAAUGGGGCUCCAAACUUUGUUAUACUGUUCUUGAAAGGUAAUCAGCUUCCUUGCAUGAGUAGAUGGAACAGGUCUGUUUAUGUUACUUUGAGGUUUACCAGUAAAGCACCACAAUCUCUGCAAGCUGAGGAAUUGAGGGGAAAUAUUGCAUGAGUCUUGGUCUGUUUCUUACAAUUGCCUUGUGAAGGUGGCUGGCAGCCAUUAAUAGUGCUGAUUUUAUAAAUACAGGAUGAACAAUUAA
RNAcentral lists this long non-coding RNA (993 nucleotides) under Vulpes vulpes (red fox). RNAcentral's name for it is "lncRNA (ENSVVUG00000018535.1)". The record is from RNAcentral. Lineage: Eukaryota; Metazoa; Chordata; Mammalia; Carnivora; Canidae.